GAGGGUGUAGCUUAAUGGUAGGGUGCAUGCUUAGCAUGCACAAGAUCUUGGGUUCAAUCCCCAGUACCUCUA
Molecule: transfer RNA, 72 nt
Filed under: Camelus ferus (Wild Bactrian camel)
Lineage: Eukaryota; Metazoa; Chordata; Mammalia; Artiodactyla; Camelidae
Rfam family: tRNA
About the family: Transfer RNA (tRNA) molecules are approximately 80 nucleotides in length. Their secondary structure includes four short double-helical elements and three loops (D, anti-codon, and T loops).
Source: Rfam by way of RNAcentral